GAAACGGUGACUAAUACCGCAUAAUAUUCUUGGAAGGCAUCUUCCGAGAAGGAAAGGAAAUAUUCGGUAAAAGAUGGGCCCGCAUCUGAUUAGCUAGUUGGUGAGAUAACAGCCCACCAAGGCGACGAUCAGUAGCCGACCUGAGAGGGUGACCGGCCACAUUGGGACUGAGACACGGCCCAAACUCCUACGGGAGGCAGCAGUGGGGAAUAUUGCACAAUGGGGGGAACCCUGAUGCAGCAACGCCGCGUGAAGGAAGACGGUUUUCGGAUUGUAAACUUCUAUCGAUAGGGAAGAAAGAAAUGACGGUACCUAAAUAAGAAGCCCCGGCUAACUACGUGCCAGCAGCCGCGGUAAUACGUAGGGGGCAAGCGUUAUCCGGAAUUACUGGGUGUAAAGGGAGAGUAGGCGGCAAGGUAAGCGAUAUGUGAAAGCCUUAGGCUUAACCUGAGGAUUGCAUAACGAACUAUCUAGCUAGAGUACAGGAGAGGAAAGCGGAAUUCCUAGUGUAGCGGUGAAAUGCGUAGAUAUUAGGAAGAACACCAGUGGCGAAGGCGGCUUUCUGGACUGAAACUGACGCUGAGGCUCGAAAGCGUGGGGAGCGAACAGGAUUAGAUACCCUGGUAGUCC
Molecule: ribosomal RNA, 630 nt
Filed under: uncultured bacterium
Lineage: Bacteria
Description: bacterial SSU rRNA
Rfam family: Bacterial small subunit ribosomal RNA
Source: RNAcentral